ACAACCCUUAUUCAAAUAUUUUGUUUGAAUAGAUCUGAGCGUAACGAUAUCUUGAAACGCUUUAAAUCUACUAUGGCUAUUAAGUUUUAACUGCCUAUAUUUUUUUUAAUAUAAAAAAGAUAGAAAGCGACCGAAAUGGAUGGCCUCCAAAAUAACUUUUUAAA
RNAcentral lists this unclassified non-coding RNA (164 nucleotides) under uncultured soil eukaryote. Its description in RNAcentral is "sequence contains ITS2". The record is from RNAcentral.